Cavia porcellus (domestic guinea pig) is the source of this 102-nucleotide unclassified non-coding RNA. It matches the Rfam family "Y RNA". From Rfam's summary of the family: Y RNAs are components of the Ro ribonucleoprotein particle (Ro RNP), in association with Ro60 and La proteins. Lineage: Eukaryota; Metazoa; Chordata; Mammalia; Rodentia; Caviidae. The record is from Ensembl.
GGCUGGUCCGAGUGCAGUGGUGUUUACAACUAAUUGAUCACAACCAGUUACAGAUUUCUUUGUUCCUUCUCCACUCCCACUGCUUCACUUGACUAGCCAUAA